GACGAACGCUGGCGGCGUGCUUAACACAUGCAAGUCGAACGGAAAGGCCCUGCUUUUGUGGGGUGCUCGAGUGGCGAACGGGUGAGUAACACGUGAGUAACCUGCCCUUGACUUUGGGAUAACUUCAGGAAACUGGGGCUAAUACCGGAUAGGAGCUCCUGCUGCAUGGUGGGGGUUGGAAAGUUUCGGCGGUUGGGGAUGGACUCGCGGCUUAUCAGCUUGUUGGUGGGGUAGUGGCUUACCAAGGCUUUGACGGGUAGCCGGCCUGAGAGGGUGACCGGCCACAUUGGGACUGAGAUACGGACCAGACGCCUACGGGAGGCAGCAGGGGGGAAUAUUGCACAAUGGGCGGAAGCCUGAUGCAGCAGCGCCGCGUUCGGGAUGACGGCCUUCGGGUUGUAAACCGCUUUCGCCGGUGACGAAGCGGGAGUGACGGUAAUUGGUAAAGAAGCACCGGCUAACUACGUG
Molecule: ribosomal RNA, 468 nt
Filed under: uncultured bacterium
Lineage: Bacteria
Description: partial 16S ribosomal RNA
Rfam family: Bacterial small subunit ribosomal RNA
Source: RNAcentral